Long non-coding RNA from Gopherus evgoodei (Goodes thornscrub tortoise), 547 nucleotides. RefSeq lists it as uncharacterized. The record is from RefSeq and is a predicted model, not a curated record. The transcript has 3 exons. NCBI's taxonomy places the organism in Eukaryota, Metazoa, Chordata, Testudines, Testudinidae.
CGGGAAAUGAGUGGCGCCGUUAGCCACAUAAUAAGCUGUAGGCGCGUUGGCAUCAAAGGGAAUCUCCAGAGCUAGGCAUUCCUGACACCAGCAGCAAAUGCAGCACUCAAAUACAGCUCCAUUUUGCCACUGGAGGAAAACAAUUAAUCUCAAGAUUCAUGAAGGACACCUAAAGAGGCAGUUAGUUGCCUAAGUCCAACAUUUAGGUACCACAAAGACAUCACUCAGCUUCUGCCUAACACUGUAGGUGCCCACGUUUCCACUGGUGGACAUGCGUAAAACCAACGAACUCUGAUGAUGCCACACAGCUAACUAGCUGUUCAGAGCUCUCGCUCAUACCUUAGUCCCCGCAGGAUUCUCAGACCUGGCGUUCUCCCACCUAUCUCAUGUGUGUUGUACUCAGAGCAUACCCAACCACACAAAAGACAGCUGGAAGCAAGAAGGUCGGGAAGGAGAAUGUGUCCAUCCCUAGUCCAUCCAGUAACCAAGGCACUCAUCUGAAACAUGGGAGAUCCAGUUUUGAAUUCCUAUUCAACCUGAUUUGGAG